RNAcentral lists this long non-coding RNA (764 nucleotides) under Zea mays. Its description in RNAcentral is "long non-coding RNA (ZMAY_LNC001839)". The record is from RNAcentral. Lineage: Eukaryota; Viridiplantae; Streptophyta; Magnoliopsida; Poales; Poaceae.
CAUUUGUAAACCUCAUCCCCAGUUCACAGAAGCAUUAUUGUUGCCAUUUAAGUUCAUAUAGGCAACAUACAAAAGCAUUCAUGUUUAGCUAGCAUUUUUGUUGCCCUCUGUAGAUAACACACACAAAAGACUGAUCAAGAGCAUCAGUGCAUCAUACAAAAACAUUCAUGCUCAACUAUUAUAGUUAAAGGCAUUCAUCGGCCUUGAUCAAACUGCAUACAUCUACUUCAAUUCUUAUUAUUCUUGGUCCUUGUUUCUCCCUUAUUUGUUGGUGGUUUUGCAAUCCUCUUUCUUGUUGUGUUCCUUCCUUCUUUGGUUGCUGAUGUGAGGACUAUAGGUCUUGGCACAGGAAUGUUUGCUAUGAUGAAUUUACAUUCGACACAGCUUGUUUAGGUUCCUGUGAAAGUAGUUGACUAGGACCAACCUACCAAAAAAUAGUGAUUAGUUUAGUUGUUAAGGUGACUAUGGGUGGAAAGUGCAUUUGGCAGUAGCUGACCUGUUCCAUCAUUUGAAGUAGCAUCGUUGAGCUCAUUUCUAUCAUCAAAUUGCAAUAAUGGGGUUCAUCACCAUCUUGUGUCAUCUGGUCCAUUGGUGGCCCCUUGACUGUUAUCUUGGGUGACAACUUGAUUGUCAUCUAGCAUUUCGUUGUAAUCAGGUUGUUCAUCAGGUUGUGCCUCAGGAUGAGCAGGUUACACCUCAAGAUGAUUAGGUUUUGGACUGACACCUAGCUUCUUGAUGGGGAAGCCUUUGUCAUUAUGGUCGUC